AAUCAACGCUGGCGGCGUGCCUCAGACAUGCAAGUCGAACGCGAAAGUUUCCUUCGGGAGACAAGUAGAGUGGCGCACGGGUGAGUAACACGUAGGUAAUCUACCUUUGGAUGGGGAAUAACAACCGGAAACGGUUGCUAAUACCGCAUAAUGCAGCGGCACCUAAUGGUGACAGUUGUUAAAGCGGGGGAUCGAAAGACCUCGCGUCUAAAGAGGAGCCUGCGGCGGAUUAGCUAGUGGUAAGGUAAUGGCUUACCAAGGCUACGAUCCGUAACCGGCCUGAGAGGGCGGUCGGUCACACUGACACUGACAUACGGGUCAGACUCCUACGGGAGGCAGCAGUCGGGAAUUUUGGGCAAUGGGCGAAAGCCUGACCCAGCAACGCCACGUGAAGGAUGAAAUCCCUCGGGAUGUAAACUUCGCAAGAACGGGAAGAAUAAGUAGGGG
RNAcentral lists this ribosomal RNA (447 nucleotides) under uncultured bacterium. RNAcentral describes it as "bacterial SSU rRNA". It matches the Rfam family "Bacterial small subunit ribosomal RNA", at positions 32 to 459 of the family's 1533-position model. The record is from RNAcentral.